GGUUACGUUCAUACGACACCGAAUGUGCCGUAUCUCAUUCCGAAACUCAUUCCGAAUCGCGAAGCCAAAUGGUGUUUGGCCUGUUCAGUACUCGGGAGGGGGACCACCGGGGAACCGCAUGGUGAUGUAACCG
This 133-nucleotide ribosomal RNA is filed under the name Plasmodiophora brassicae. Lineage: Eukaryota; Endomyxa; Phytomyxea; Plasmodiophorida; Plasmodiophoridae. The record is from RNAcentral.